RNAcentral lists this microRNA precursor (103 nucleotides) under Marmota monax (woodchuck). The record is from RNAcentral. Lineage: Eukaryota; Metazoa; Chordata; Mammalia; Rodentia; Sciuridae.
AGUGGGAUUACUUGGUCAAGUAGUGGUUCCAUUCCAAGUUUUCUGAGGAAUCUUCAUACUGCUUUCCAGAGUGGUUGCACCAAUUUGCAGUCCUACCAGCAAU